CCAAAAUCACUCAACUCUAAUUAUGAGGAUUUAGUUAAUCACUAUUUACUUAUUUUGGAAUGAUUAAUUAAAUACUAAAUAAGGGUUUAUUAACAUUUUAACCAAACCUUAUCCAAAUGCCACCAAAUUUUAGGUGGAGCCAGGGAAUAAUAUUCAGAGGCUCCCCACAAUUUUUGGUGAUUUUUGGACAUACAAUUAAAUUAUUAAAAUUCAUACAAGUUUUAUUUGCUAAUUAAAAGGGCAAAUUUUUACAGACAUGUAAACUACCAGAAAACAGAACUUAAUAUUUUUCUUGGGUUCUACUCACUUCAGAGAGCUUACACAAAAAUUUCCACA
RNAcentral lists this long non-coding RNA (336 nucleotides) under Sorghum bicolor (sorghum). Its description in RNAcentral is "long non-coding RNA (SBIC_LNC005073)". Lineage: Eukaryota; Viridiplantae; Streptophyta; Magnoliopsida; Poales; Poaceae. The record is from RNAcentral.